RNAcentral lists this ribosomal RNA (467 nucleotides) under uncultured bacterium. RNAcentral describes it as "partial 16S ribosomal RNA". It matches the Rfam family "Bacterial small subunit ribosomal RNA", at positions 28 to 507 of the family's 1533-position model. The record is from RNAcentral.
GACGAACGCUGGCGGCGUGCUUAGCACAUGCAAGUCGAACGGAAAGGCUCCAGCUUGCUGGAGUACUCGAGUGGCGAACGGGUGAGUAACACGUGGGUAAUCUGCCCUGCACUCUGGGAUAAGCCUGGGAAACUGGGUCUAAUACUGGAUAUGACCUUUCUCCUUAUGGGGUUUGGUGGAAAGUUUUUCGGUGUAGGAUGAGCCCGCGGCCUAUCAGCUUGUUGGUGGGGUGAUGGCCUACCAAGGCGACGACGGGUAGCCGGCCUGAGAGGGUGAUCGGCCACAUUGGGACUGAGAUACGGCCCAGACUCCUACGGGAGGCAGCAGUGGGGAAUAUUGCACAAUGGGCGGAAGCCUGAUGCAGCGACGCCGCGUGAGGGAUGACGGCCUUCGGGUCGUAAACCUCUUUCAGCAGGGACGAAGCGUAAGUGACGGUACCUGCAGAAGAAGCACCGGCUAACUAUGUG